GUUCGAUCCUGGCUCGUUGAACGCUGGCGGGAUGCUUUACACAUGCAAGUCGAACGGCAUACGGACUUCGGUCUGGUGGCGAGUGGCGAACGGGUGAGUAAUGUAUCGGAACGUGCCUAGUAGCGGGGGAUAACUACGCGAAAGCGUAGCUAAUACCGCAUACGCCCUUCGGGGAAAGCGGGGGACCUUCGGGCCUCGCACUAUUAGAGCGGCCGAUAUCGGAUUAGCUAGUUGGUGGGGUAACGGCUCACCAAGGCGACCGAUCCGUAGCUGGUUUGAGAGGACAGCAGCCACGCAGGACUGAGACACGGCCCAGACUCCUACGGGAGGCAGCAGUGGGGAAUUUUGGACAAUGGGAAACCUGAUCCAGCCAUCCCGCGUGUGCGAUGAAGGCCUUCGGGUUGUAAAGCACUUUGGCAGGAAAGAAACGGCACGGGAUAAUACCCCGUGCAGCUGACGGUACGCACCCAGAAUAAGCACCGGCUAACUACGUGCAGCAGCCGCGGUAAUACGUAGGGUGCAAGCGUUAAUCGGAAUUACUGGGCGUAAAGCGUGCGCAGGCGGUUCCGGAAGAAAGAUGUGAAAUCCCAGAGCUUAACUUUGAACUGCAUUUUUAACUACCGAGCUAGAGUGUGUCAGGGAGGUGGAAUUCCGCGUGUAGCAGUGAAAUGCGUAGAUAUGCGGAGGAACACCGAUAGCGAAGGCAGCCUCCUGGGAUAACACUGACGCUCAUGCACGAAAGCGUGGGGAGCAAACAGGAUUAGAUACCCUGGUAGUCCACGCCCUAAACGAUGUCAACUAGCUGUUGGGGCCUUCCGGGCCUUGGUAGCGCAGCUAACGCGUGAAGUUGACCGCCUGGGAGGUACGGUCGCAAGAUUAAAACUCAAAGGUGGCAGGGACCCGCACAAGCGGUGGAUGAUGUGGAUUAAUUCGAUGCAACACGAAAAACCUUACCUACCCUUGACAUGUCUGGAAUCCCGAAAGAGAUUUGGGAGUGCUCGCAAGAGAACCGGAACACAGGUGCUGCAUGGCUGUCGUCAGCUCGUGUCGUGAGAUGUUGGGUUAAGUCCCGUAACGAGCGCAACCCUUGUCAUUAGUUGCUACGAAAGGGCACUCUAAUGAGACUGCCGGUGACAAACCGGAGGAAGGCGGGGAUGACGUCAAGUCCUCAUGGCCCUUAUGGUGGGGCUUCACACGUCAUACAAUGGUCGGGACAGAGGGUCGCCAACCCGAGAGGCCAAUCCCAGAAACCCGAUCGUAGUCCGGAUCGCAGUCCUGCAACUCGACUGCGUGAAGUCGGAAUCGCUAGUAAUCGCGGAUCAGCAUGUCGCGGUGAAUACGUUCCCGGGUCUUGUACACACACCGCCCGUCACACCAUGGGAGUGGGUUUUGCCAGAAGUAGUUAGCCUAACCGUAAGGAGGGCGAAUUACCACGGUAGGAUUCUUGACUGGGGUGAAGUCGUAACAAGGUAG
Molecule: ribosomal RNA, 1473 nt
Filed under: uncultured Bordetella sp.
Lineage: Bacteria; Pseudomonadati; Pseudomonadota; Betaproteobacteria; Burkholderiales; Alcaligenaceae
Description: partial 16S-23S ribosomal RNA intergenic spacer
Rfam family: Bacterial small subunit ribosomal RNA
Source: RNAcentral